This 70-nucleotide transfer RNA is filed under the name Camelus bactrianus (Bactrian camel). It matches the Rfam family "tRNA". From Rfam's summary of the family: Transfer RNA (tRNA) molecules are approximately 80 nucleotides in length. The record is from Rfam by way of RNAcentral. RNAcentral also lists the same sequence under 2 other names. Lineage: Eukaryota; Metazoa; Chordata; Mammalia; Artiodactyla; Camelidae.
GAGGGUAGCUUGGUGGUAGAGCACAUGCUUAGUAUGCAUGAGGUCCAGGGUUCAACCCCCAGUACCUCCG